GGAUGGAAGAUUUUGUAGGAGUGAUUUGGGUAGGAUGUGAUCUAAAUGAAAGCUUUAUCUUCCUGUCUGAGUAGUUAACCUGAGAAAUGUUUUUUAGUUAAGAGUGUUGCAAGCACAUUAUAUGUCCCUUAAUUUGGAUGCUCUCUUUCUCUUUGUUUGUAAGAGUUAUGGGGUAUAUUUCCAUUUCUGUUGCUCAAUUACCAUGAGUUAUGAGAAAUGUUUUUUUAUCUUUGUUGUUCUACUUCUCCCUCAAGAGGCCAC
Molecule: unclassified non-coding RNA, 261 nt
Filed under: Hevea brasiliensis (rubber tree)
Lineage: Eukaryota; Viridiplantae; Streptophyta; Magnoliopsida; Malpighiales; Euphorbiaceae
Source: RNAcentral